GAUGAACGCUGGCGGCGUGCCUAAUACAUGCAAGUCGAGCGAACAGACGAGGAGCUUGCUCCUCUGACGUUAGCGGCGGACGGGUGAGUAACACGUGGAUAACCUACCUAUAAGACUGGGAUAACUUCGGGAAACCGGAGCUAAUACCGGAUAAUAUAUUGAACCGCAUGGUUCAAUAGUGAAAGACGGUUUUGCUGUCACUUAUAGAUGGAUCCGCGCCGCAUUAGCUAGUUGGUAAGGUAACGGCUUACCAAGGCAACGAUGCGUAGCCGACCUGAGAGGGUGAUCGGCGACGCUGGAACUGAGACACGGUCCAGACUCCUACGGGAGGCAGCAGUAGGGAAUGGUGCGCAAUGGGCGGAAGCGUGACGGAGCGGCGCCGCGUGAGGGAUGAAGGUCGUCGGAUCGGAAAACUCUGUUAUUAGGGAAGAACAAAUGUGUAAGUAACUAUGCACGUCUUGACGGUACCUAAUCAGAAAGCCACGGCUAACUACGUG
This 497-nucleotide ribosomal RNA is filed under the name uncultured bacterium. Its description in RNAcentral is "partial 16S ribosomal RNA". It matches the Rfam family "Bacterial small subunit ribosomal RNA", at positions 28 to 507 of the family's 1533-position model. The record is from RNAcentral.